CCUACGGGUGGCUGCAGUAGGGAAUAUUGGACAAUGGGUGCAAGCCUGAUCCAGCCAUGCCGCGUGCAGGAAGACGGCCUUCUGGGUUGUAAACUGCUUUUUUCAGGGGAUAAAAGGCCCGUGCGCGGGACAUUGAAAGUACCUGGAGAAUAAGCCACGGCUAACUACGUGCCAGCAGCCGCGGUAAUACGUAGGUGGCAAGCGUUGUCCGGGUUUAUUGGGUUUAAAGGGGGCGUCGGAGGCUAGUUGAGAAAUACGGCAGCUUAACUGUCGAGGUGCCAGUGAUACUGGGUAGCUUGAGUACUGAUGAGGUAGGCGGAAUGGACGGUGUAGCGGUGAAAUGCUUAGAGAUCGUCCAGAACACCGAUAGCGAAGGCAGCUUACUAAGGAGUAACUGACGCUGAGGCACGAAAGUGUGGGGAUCAAACAGGAUUAGAUACCCGGGUAGUC
This 450-nucleotide ribosomal RNA is filed under the name uncultured bacterium. RNAcentral describes it as "partial 16S ribosomal RNA". It matches the Rfam family "Bacterial small subunit ribosomal RNA", at positions 338 to 795 of the family's 1533-position model. The record is from RNAcentral.